AUCUCCUCUCCUUCUCUGAAGAACUGCGUGAUUAUAGAACUUCAUCUCUCUUUCAGCUCUAAAACAACUGAAAUCAACAGCCAGGGGUUUGUCAAGGUUGAAGAACUGAAGUACUUUGAAGAUCUGAAGAACAUUGAAGGUCAACAUGGCCCAUCGAUUGAGAAGUGGUUUUUGUGUGCUUAUAUAGUAAAGAACCCCUUUUAUGUAUGGUGAGGCAGGAGGUCGUGUCAUUAAUUUGCCAGAGAAUCAGAAGAUGUUUAUUGUAAAACAUUGGCACAACAGUUCAGUGAUCUCUUUUGGGUAUCAUUUUAUGGUUCAAGCAAUGUCAGAAAGCAUAGGUGAAGAUUCAGGUAAUACCAAUGGAGCCUCUCAGAAUAUCAUGCCGAGCUUGAAUAUCUUGAACAACCUGGCAUGUUCUCCUACAAAUACAUCCCAAGCCUGCUAAGCGUAAUGCGUAUUCUGGUGAGAAUGCAUUCACUCCGGUGGAGAAGGAGUUAGUUUUCGAUAUUGAUAUGUCAGAUUAUGUCGAUGUUUGGUAUCGCUGCUCGGGUGCUAAUAUUUGCAAAAAGUGAUGGCCACUAAUGACAAUUGUUAUUAAAGUGAUUUAUUCUGCACUCAGAGGUAGGAGUUCCUGCAUUAGCUAUUCAUUGAAUUUUAAAUCUACGAACUACGAAGAGCAGCCCCAUGGUCAGUGUUGUUGAGUGAACAGGAAGACUUGAACUCUCUGGGUUUGAAGUCCCUUCAUUGCGGGGUCCUAUUUCUUGAGUAUCCUAAUUCAGAUAAUGAUCUAAUUGGAUGACCGCACAACCAUCCAGUCUAAUCAUGUUCUUGGCAGUUGUACAUUUCUUAUCCGAGUGGAACUUUCCAACCGCUAAGCAUUUUAGCUAAUUGAAAAUUUCUUCAUGUGCUGCCCCAGUUAUUGUACUUUUUCUUUUGCCCUGGCAAACAGGAAACCUUACAUCUUUUUUUCCUUUCUGAAAGUUCGCAAUAGGAGAUGCACAGCAAUUUCUUUAGCACAUGGUGGUACAAGUAGGAUAAAACAAAUACUUGUUACUUCGAUCCUUUGCAAAGUUCCCAAUCAGUGUUAGCUAUUCUAUAUAAUUGCACUAUAUUGUGUCGAUAGAAGUUAUCAUACAACCAGUUCUGAAGUUACUGCUGUCUGGCCCCUUACAUAAUUUUGAAAUUGUGGUAUUGCUACUGAUGCAUGUGUGUUCUCUAAACCCUGUGUACGCAUCAUACUAUAUGCAACUAUCAGUCUACUAAAGUGUAGGUUUUUUAAAGCUGUAAUGCCUGGUCAGGUGUCCGUGUAUAACGCAAAAUCCCUUGAUCAUAAUUGGAAACCUAAUCUAGCCAUUUAGUAACUGAGUAGGAUCAUUAUAUUUCUUCCGCUGAUCUCGUAUGUCGUGCUCCUUUUUCGAAUUUGAUUCCUAAAUGAAGACCUUACACUUCUUUUUUUUUGCUUAUAACAUCUGUGUCUCUGUCUCAGAGGAUUUUGGCUUUGCUCACAUUCUCUGGGUAUAUAGUGGUCCGCGUGGUGUUCAUUGUUGGGUUUUCGAUGCACGAGCAAGAAGGUGACUUAAAUUUAUUUAGCAUUUAAUUGUAUACAAACUUCGCCUUUAUUCAAAGGGUUUAUAUAUGCUAUGUAUCACCCCUGUAGGUUGAACAAUGCACAGAGAGCAGCUAUUGCUGACUGUUUUCAUGUAUAUAAGGUGGUAUAUAACUAUAGUAUCAUGUGUCAACUUAUUCUCUUUGAAUUUGAUACAUUUCAUGGGAUCUUCCUAAACUUAUUCAUACUUUCAGGGAAGCCAAAGUGGCUGUGAGAAAGUUUUCUUAGAGGGUCCUGUUGUUCAUCCUUCUUUGGUGUAAAUAUAGGUUUUCUUUAGGAUGUCUUCAAAUUUCUCAGUUCCUUUUCAAGUUUUACGAAGUAGUCCCAUAUUUUGCAGAAGAUCAUAUCAACAAGUGCUGAGACUCUUCUUUGAAGAGGAAUUUCUAUGUGGACAAAAUCUACUUGAAUACAAGGAGAAAUUUGAUUCCUGAUGAAUGUAAGGAACCAAAAAUUUCUCUUAGCUACACCUGUUGGUCUUUUCCAAGUCUUUAUUAAUUGGAUCAGUGUUAGCUACUCAUCCACCUUGGUCUUCACAGGUAUUAACUUUUCGCAAUUUUCUUGAUGAUAUAGUCACUUUGUUAUGGCUUCAUAGUUGGCUGUAUAAGCAGGAGAACAUGGCAAACAUUAUAGUCUGACAACGUAUAUCUGUACCAAAUUGUGUUUAGAGUGAGAGAUCCUUUUUGAUGGCCACUAUCCUUUUAAGUAGGGAAUGAUGCUGGUGAUCAGAAUAUAUUGAAACCAUCAACUUCUUUCAGUCUCUAGUUCCUAUUUGUUAUCCAUAAUCAAUUAAGGUGCCUUUCGGUGACAGGUGGAGAAAAAUUUCUUAAAUGGCAAGUUGAAGGCCAUCACAGCUUACUUCAACCACCCCUCAGUGGGAUUUAAAACAGUCCACUUCUGCGAAUUUUGGAUCAAAACGUGGGUUCUUCUAAAGCUGAACUAAUCCAUGGAUUCUGAUUGUACACCACCAAGACUCCAGAAUAUAUACGAAAACCUGGAAGAACUUAGACUCUACUAAGAUCAGGGAUUUUUCGUGUCAAAAAAAAAAGAUCAGGGAUUUCAUGGGAGCAUUCUGGGAUAAGCUGUCCGUGGAUGAGGCUAAGAAGGAUGUUAUAUCAUUUGAUACUGUGAUGUUGGAGGUAUCUGGGUUUAAGUCAAAAAGCAGUACUCUGGUGAUAUUGUCGCAGCAGCUGAAUCUACCUAUGAUUUGCAGAGGAAUUGUUUAGGCAAGCGGAGUCUCGUGAUACUUCUGGUGGAGUUCUUUCUUCUUACUCAUUUAUUAGUCUAUCUUUCUUUCCCUGUUUUUCAAUGCCUCUUUCAGUUGACACAAACUAGAUCACCCAUCCAUUUAUGAACGUCAACAUAGAACGUCGUAUGUCAGUCACAAAAAUUUGGGUCUUGAUGAUCAUCUCAGAAAGUUUGCUGUGAUACUUGUAUACAUUUGUAUCUCCUAUUUAUACUUUAAGUUCACUUCGAUUAAAUAAUCCUUUUUUUAAAGAUAUAAUAGAGUUUUGUAUCUUCAUUUGUAUCAUCUAUCGUGUUU
Long non-coding RNA from Papaver somniferum (opium poppy), 3146 nucleotides. RefSeq lists it as uncharacterized. NCBI's taxonomy places the organism in Eukaryota, Viridiplantae, Streptophyta, Magnoliopsida, Ranunculales, Papaveraceae. The record is from RefSeq and is a predicted model, not a curated record. The transcript has 9 exons.